UAUACUCAGACCUAAAAUAAAUCAAUUUUCUCUCUUCGUUAAUCACAUGAAACCCUAGUAACAAUUUCCCAAUUUCUCUUCGAUUUACAUUGUUGACAACACCGUUACUUAUAAUACUUUGGUAUGGGGGUUCUGCAGAAUUGGGCUAGUGGAAUUGGGUUUUGCAUUGGUUUUUAUUGACACUAUCACUUUGAUAUGUUUCAUUCCUCGUUUUGCCUUAUAAUUUUGUUUCGCUCACUCAUUUUCUUAAAUUGUUAGCUUUCUUAUUCUGUAUUUUAUACUUGAAUAUAUCUCAUGCAUUCAAAUUCAAUGAGGGAAAUGAGGGAAAGAAAUAAAAUUAAGAAGGCAGAAACAUAUUUCUGUCAGAAAAUCCUUCCGGGCAGAAUUUGUUGCGAUGAAACUUUGGGAAUUGACUCACAUGAAGACAAAUUGAAAGUGGGUUAAUGAUGCCUCCACUGAAUAGAACGUACACACAAACUCUUAACUUUUUACUCAUAGAACAUGAGUAUGUCCAAACAGAAAUUGAAGUUAGAGAUUGUAUAACUUGUUUGUAGGAGAAGGUGAAAGAAUUUACUGCUGAGCAAGUUCAAGAAUUGGAAGAGGGUACUGAUAUGGACCCUAUUAUUAAUGGUGCCUUUGUGAAAAUUGGUGGAAAAAGAUAAAGAAUUGAUCUGGUCAAUGGUUGGGAGUUAAGCCAACAAGUAGAGAUUCACGCACCGAAUUCACGAGUAACUAUUUAUUACAAAUUAACAAAAGGAGGUAGGAGAAGAAUGUCAUAUACGGGGGAGAGUGUGGCACCCAAACUUAUAGAAGUACAAAUUAACUUGUGGAGUAGUGGCAAAAUGGAGAUAUCAUGAAAGCUCAUCUUGAACAUGGGAAGAAAAUGUUAAAAAAGGGCAUCAUGGCACUAUUAUCCCAUAUUCGGAGUUCCAAGCCAUUGCAGGGGGGAAAUGCAGCUUCCUUGGCCAAUUGUAGAGAUACUAUUGCUUAGUUAUUGUUCUGUGACCCCAAAACCUUCUAAUAAAAGCCAAACCUCCAUUUCUCCUACCCGUUCUCCACCUGUUUGGCUCUUCUUCCAAGGGGUUGCUGUGUAACAAGCACAUGCAGACGCAGAGCUAGAAUUUUAAUCUUAUGCGUUCUGAAUUUUAGAACGACAACUUCAAGUGCUAAUAACUGGGUUCUAAAUUUAAUAUUUGUAUAUAUAUUUAAUGAUUUUCUUUAACGCAAUGCACGGUUUGAGCAAAAGCUUCUGGCUUUGGCCGAAAAUUGAUGAGUUAGCACAUGUAUCCACUAGAACACCCAUGAAUAUAUAUUAUCAUCAACUUGAUGAAUUAAUUGUUGUUACGGCUUGGAAUUCUUAUUGUAUAGAAUAAUUGUAUUGGGCAAUGCCUUUCUUCACUUGAACCAAAAAAUUCUUGGCCUGCUGAAAGAAACUUGUCCUAAUUGUUUUGAUGUUGUAUAAUAGUUACUUCCUUAGUUCUAUCAUGUUCAAGUUCUUUAUUGUUUAUAAUUUCUAACACCCUGGACUUCCUGCUGCAAUUCGGUAAUAGGUAGUACUAGAAUAUAUCAUUUCACCAGUCAAAACUGCCUCUCUCUGAUUUUAACUUGAGAGUUUAUUUGAUUUGUAUAGCCGAAAGAUUUGACGUAGUUUUACCUGGUUCUAUUUUCCUUUUUCUAUUUUACGCUUUAUAUCUGAAGCCACCUCCAUAAAAAGGUAAGUUACAUGAAAAAGGUUAUUUGUUGUGAAUACAACUUUGCUCAAUCUGAAUAAUACCCUCAUAAAAAAUUAUUGUUACCUUCUUUUCCCCACAACAUAAAUAUCAUUUUUGACUUUGAAACAUCAAUAUUGAGAACUCACCACAUAAAAAUUAUACUACUCUGCGUCCUAAAAGUCUAAAGCUAGUUUUCAAAAUUUUCCCUCUAUCUGGGCCUCUCCUAUUAAAAAAAAAAACCAAAUAAAAAAAUACUACUUAAAAGUAAGAUAAAAAAAACAUUAUCCGUUAUUCCUGCUUUGGGUUUUCAGGCAGUUUAAUACUCAUUUUGCCUAUAUAUGUUUCAGUUUCUGCUAGAUGAUGUCAUUGGAGCUUUCCCUGUUGGCAAUUGCUAAUAUCCUGCCCCGUCUAGCUAGUCGUCUAGAGUAUCGUCAUCUCGGCCUUGAUGUUGAAUAACAUGUGUUAUAAAUAGCUCAGUUUUCUUUUCCCAUUUCCUGGCAGCAUUCCUUGCUAAUAAGUCAACAAACACAUAUUGCCUAGCAUGUUGUUUUCAUUUAUGCACUUAUUCCUAUUUAUUCGAACACCAAGUGCUUCUUGGGCUAACACUGUCUGUAGUUCUGAAUAUGCAGGAAUUAGUUUAGCCCUUGCUUCUAGUAUUUUGUUAAUACUGUGUGUAGUUCUGAAUUCCAAUGACCUUUGUUUCUCCAAAUGGCUUGGCAGUUUUCAG
This is a non-coding RNA of Nicotiana tabacum (common tobacco), 2439 nucleotides long. Lineage: Eukaryota; Viridiplantae; Streptophyta; Magnoliopsida; Solanales; Solanaceae. The record is from RefSeq and is a predicted model, not a curated record.